AAAAUGGACGAUCAUCUUUUGUCCGGCAACUAGAGCCAGAUUGGCAUAUUGACACUAAUCCUGAAAUUGUUUCUCAGUUGGCUAGGUUUAUCAAAUAUCAACUUCGCAUUUCUCCCAUUAGACCCGAACGGACUGCGGCAAACGUGUUCAGCUCUCCAUCCUUGGAACAUUUCUUUGGACGUGAUUGAUGCUUCAACAGUAAAGCGUCUAAUUAUGAACCUAAAAAUAGAUUGUUCUUUUACAGCUCAAUGUUCUCUAGGAACUCUUCUACCGUUGUUGAUUUUCCAGACCAC
This 293-nucleotide unclassified non-coding RNA is filed under the name Hevea brasiliensis (rubber tree). The record is from RNAcentral. Lineage: Eukaryota; Viridiplantae; Streptophyta; Magnoliopsida; Malpighiales; Euphorbiaceae.